GGGGGCAGAUGGAAAGAUAAACAAAGUGGACAGAUGGUAGACAGACAGGCAAAAAAUCCGGGAUCAGUCCAAGCAGAGAAACACAGAAAAAAGGGACGUAACAGGUGUGGCAGGUUGAUCAAACAGACAAAAGUGAGGAUUAAUCAAGACGCCUGACAGCUGGAGAAUAAACAGCAUCAAGACUGAAAAGAAAGAUAGAGAGCUGCUUCUGUUUGAGCCCAGGAUAUCUUCAACUAAUGAGGAGCACGUAAACCGGAUUUUUGGCGCCUCUCCUUUCUAUUGGCCUACUCCUUCAAAAGGGUUGGGGGCUCAGCUCUUGUCUCUGCCUGAUGCUGGAAUUUCCCAUCGGGUGCUUUGUGGGUGUCUUCAGGGAGACCCUGAACCUUUUUCCAGCCAUGAACCGGUUUAAUGUCCGACAAAAUGUAAUUUUCACAGACCGGUCUGUAUGAGGCUGAAGUGUAAAAGCUGUAUAAUUUUUCACAAUUUAUUUAUUAGCUUCCAAUUUCCCUUAACUUUUAAGGGGAAACGUUUAUCUUCAUCCUUUUUAAAAUAUCUACAACUCAUUUAAACUUUAUUUGUACUUUAGAUUUCAUGUAGGAACUUAAGGUGCGACCGAUGAAAAUAAAUAAAUAAAUCAAACCGUCUCUAAAGGCCCGUACACACCGGGACGAAUAUUCGCCAGGCGUUAUUCGCCAGCGUUU
This is a non-coding RNA of Oryzias latipes (Japanese medaka), 701 nucleotides long. Lineage: Eukaryota; Metazoa; Chordata; Actinopteri; Beloniformes; Adrianichthyidae. The record is from RefSeq and is a predicted model, not a curated record.